CAUCAACCCGUUCUACAUCAAACGCCACCGCCAUUGCUCAAUCCAGCCACAAAUCGCGCCCCACUCUGUUCCAAAUCCAGAAACACCCACCCUGCCACCUCAAGUUCCGUCGCCUCCAAUUUCGAGCAACUCGCAAUGCCCCCGAAACAUCUAACUCGCGAUCGUCGUCUCCAAUUGUAAUCACCACCGCAGCCACACCAACCGCCGAUCACCUUCACAACGUCGAAGCCCAUAAUCACUACAGCCGCCAGCUACAAGCGCUUAUCCUUAUAGCGACGCCGUCCAUAAUCACCUCAACCACCAACACCUCACCUCCACUCGAUCCCCAAUUUGCCAUCAUGCAAAUUGGGCUAGAGAGAAUAGUCAGCACUUGAUUUUUU
Molecule: long non-coding RNA, 380 nt
Filed under: Olea europaea (common olive)
Lineage: Eukaryota; Viridiplantae; Streptophyta; Magnoliopsida; Lamiales; Oleaceae
Description: long non-coding RNA (OEUR_LNC002596)
Source: RNAcentral